This is a long non-coding RNA of Junco hyemalis (dark-eyed junco), 1354 nucleotides long. Lineage: Eukaryota; Metazoa; Chordata; Aves; Passeriformes; Passerellidae. The record is from Ensembl.
GGCUGUUAGCCUGCCAAGAGAGCCAUGGUGAACAACAAGAAAAUCUCCAGAUGUGCAAAAGGUUUCUGUGCUACACAGUCCAUAGGAGGAAAAUAACAAAACGUUCAGAAUAAAGAAGACCUCAUUUCCACAAGCAGUUUACAAAUCUGGAAGAACCGUAUACAGUUUAAAAAGGAGGAGAUGCAUUCCUCAUGCCUCCCUGAGUCCAUUUCUGGGAGCCAUCUGCAGUCAUUUUUACAGUAAUAAAGGGUUGUAUUCAGAAUUGCUGGUUAGAGACUCAAAGUGCUUCUGGACUCAGCCAGGGGUGAGGACAGCCCUGAGGGCUUAGGAUCCACUGGGGCCAUGCUGUCUGGUGGUGGAGUGAGCUGUGAUGAACAGGACAGUAAGAAAGUUGAGGUGAAGUCCCAUCUAAUUUGAAGUACUAAAAUAGCACAAGUUCACAUACAUGUGAUCAAAAAGGAGACAACUGAAUUUAGAAUAAAAACAGUUGCUGCAACCAAAUAAGUGGAUAACCGGAACUGGGCAAGAAUGAGAAGUCUAAUUCCCCUGAAAUUCAUGAGUUUAACCUCAAAGCAUUUUUCUGCUGAUUUCAUCUGAUUUCCUCACCUACCCUUCUGUAAAACAUGUGGACAAUACCUUUGAUAUGAAUAUUUCACUUCUAAUGAAAACAAGUGUUCAUACAUCUUCCUGCUUAGGUGGGAUUUCUGUGAGCAUCUCUCUGCUGUGGGAAAAGGGAAAAAAAAUCUGUUCAUUCUCUCUUGCCAUCUGGGCCUUUUUUUUCAGAGAUUACUAUGUUCCCCUCAUUUCAAUCCUCUGAACAGAUAUUUAAAAAGGCAAACUGGAAAAAAAAAGGAACCAAAGGACAUUUAGGGAACACAGAACAGUAUUAAAUUUACCAGUAACAAUAUUAAAUUUACCAGUAAACCUCAUUGCUCAAUUUUUACAUAUAUGAAUACAUACAUAGAGCAGCACGUGACAGAAGAGAAACAUCAUAAAGAGAGAUCAUUACUUAGAGACAUUGACUCAGGAGAUGGGAACAGCCAGCCCAUCUCAGCUGGCAUGGGAAGAACUUCCUGGGAAAAGUUGUUCCAGCCCAGAAAGUCUAUGACUCAGAUGAAAUUAAACCUGGAAGCAAGGACUUGCCUGCAGGGACACCUCCAGGAUGUCAUGCUGCUGGCUCCUUUUAGAGCCAUGAUAUUCAAACUCCCUCCCAUACCCUCAAGAAACAGACACAGGAGAGGUAAGGAGGGCAUGGACAUUUCCCUUCUUCCCACUUAGUCUGCCUGUGGGUUACCAAGUGGAAGACUCUUUUCAGCUCUUUUUUAUUACUGGGUAAAAGCACAAGUGGCAAGGU